Molecule: long non-coding RNA, 629 nt
Organism: Gasterosteus aculeatus aculeatus (three-spined stickleback)
Lineage: Eukaryota; Metazoa; Chordata; Actinopteri; Perciformes; Gasterosteidae
Source: Ensembl
GCAGCAUCCAGCUGCCUCCCCGCUGGAAAAGAGGGAUUUCUCCUCGCUGCUGUUUUUCCCUCAGCAGAUUCCAGCUCAGUCCGUCUGGAGCAGCGGCGGGGAUGAGCGCAGGGGGCCCAGGAGGCGACGUAACGAGGCAUUUCACAGUGAUGGCCUUAGCUGCGCAGCUGUGCCGGUAAUCCUGCCGCUGCACAAAGAGACGCCUUGACAACCGACCUACCUUCCUCUCUCUCUCACAAAAAAAGGCAUAGAGAGGAAAAAAAGAAAAUACGGAGGCAUAAACAAAUGCGACCAUGUACAGUGUGGAGGACCUCCUCAUCUCUCAUGGAUACAAGCUGCCCAUGCAUACCACCUCCUCCUCCAUCCCUACCCCGGCCCCCGCCUCCUUGUCCCGCCAGCAGCCUUCGUCCUCACCGCCGUCCUACAGCCGACACCAUGAAUUCCUGGAGAACAGGCCCAGGAUGUCUUAUGGGAACGGGAGCGAAUCCAGGCAGCCACAAGGGUACGCCAGCGGCUGUCCCAACAACAACAACGGACCCAGGGACAGGGGCCAGUCCAGGCGGGAGGGCGAGAACCGGUGCCAAAUGGACACCCACUCCUUGGGAGAGUCGCUGACCUCAGACAGCGGG